This 88-nucleotide transfer RNA is filed under the name Candidatus Roizmanbacteria bacterium RIFCSPHIGHO2_01_FULL_38_15. RNAcentral's name for it is "tRNA-Ser". It matches the Rfam family "tRNA". Rfam says of the family: Transfer RNA (tRNA) molecules are approximately 80 nucleotides in length. Their secondary structure includes four short double-helical elements and three loops (D, anti-codon, and T loops). The record is from RNAcentral. RNAcentral also lists the same sequence under 2 other names. Lineage: Bacteria; Candidatus Roizmaniibacteriota.
GGAGAGGUCGCAUAGUGGCCUAGUGCGUCGGUCUUGAAAACCGAUGUUCCGCAAGGGACCGCGAGUUCGAAUCUCGCCCUCUCCGCCU